RNAcentral lists this long non-coding RNA (2284 nucleotides) under Gallus gallus (chicken). Its description in RNAcentral is "long non-coding RNA NONGGAT006901". The record is from RNAcentral. Lineage: Eukaryota; Metazoa; Chordata; Aves; Galliformes; Phasianidae.
GCCGUGUCCUUUCCGCGGUCCGCCCAGUUGCCGGCAUGCCUGUCUCCGAGCUCCGCACAAGAGACGGGAGAACGCCGGGGAACGGGAGGAGCCCGAAGUUGCGGAUCCCACGAGGAAGCGUCCUGCACUUCCUGGUGACAAGGCAGACUCCCAGAAGCACCAGCAACAGCAGCAUGACAGCAGCAAAUGCACUCCCGAGGGAAGCACCCGUCUGUGAUAAGGAGGCUGCGACCACAGCUUCCUCCAUCUCCAAGAUCAGCGACUUCAUGUUGGUGCCGUUCUUGACCUGAUCGCCCUCGUUGUCGUAGAUCAAGGAGUCAUCCAGCAUCAGCCUCCCAUCACUGUCAACCAGGUCCCUGCGGCCACGCUUUAAGUGCUUGGACCUGUCUGCCUAGUACUACAAAAAGCCCCAGCAUUUCACUUCUAAUCUCUUUGUAGACAGAGCCUGUUUGCUGUAGGGAAAACAAAUCCAAAGCAGAAGCAGAGGACAGCACUGCAAGCAAAUUAUUUCGGUCUAAUAUUCAUUCUCACCUCUGAACUUGGCCUGGGUCUUGAACUCAAUAACCAGUCGGCCAUCCUCACGGAUGUAGAUUCUGAUUAUCUGCAGCCGGGCUGAGAGGACACUGUCCGUCUGAAUCCCUGUGUGGUACAGCAAGAACAAAGUCACUGGGGAGAACACGUGGCACAGCAGUCCUCAGGUGGUGUCUGUCAGCCCUUGGUAGCUCCAGAAGCAUCUGAGAGAGCUCCAAAAAGGCACAGUUUGACUGAGAUCAUCCUCCAGGUGAGUCAGCUGUACGCUUCCAGGUAUUGUGGGAAAGAAAAAUAAGUGAGCUGAAAAUAGAAGACUCACAGGCAAAGGAUAAACUGUAAAUAUACACAGUGAUGUCAGGUCUUGGAUGUCACCGGCAGCGGUGGACAGGCACAGUAUGGGACCCACCACUGGCAGUACUGUGGUUUUAACAAGAAAGGGGCUAUGAUGUGAAAAAAUCAACCUGUAAGAGCUAGGAGGCUGAGGAUCACAACUGCAGUUCCCACGUGGAAUUCAGCGGAAAGCACUGGAGAAGCCAUGCCAAAUGUCCCAUGGGAAGCAACCUCUGCCUGGAUGCGGAGGCUCCAAUGAACACAUAGCUCUUUUCCUGCAGCAUCUCAGUGAUGACUGUUUCCAUUAACAGACAUCAGGGGAAAUGACAACUCCCUUACUAAGCUUUCACAAAUGCAAGCACAACUGGACUGACACUGCAUGCUGCCCAGACUCAGGACUGCAGUGACAGUCAAGAAACUAAGAAAAAGGGAAAACUGAGAAGAAAACAAUACUCCUGUACACUCUCAAGUGCCUUGGACGUACCUGUCCUCCAGAGAACAGUGUCGUAGAAAAAGGAGAACUCCAUCUCUGUGUGAUGCUCAAGAGAAGCCCAGCCUCUCGGCGCUGUCACAUAAAUAUAGGACACAUAGAGGGGGACGUGGACUGUUAGGAAGGACUGAGCAGAGUCCCGUACCUGUCAACAGAACCCAAGCAGGUGAUUAUGCACUCUUCACAGGAGAGACACUGGCUUGGACUUGCAGCACCCUCUUUGUUCACAUUCUGCUCUGCAAAUGGGGAAAAAAGCCACAGUGUCUGUAACAAAAGACUCCUAUUUAGUAGAGGUGAGAUGAGACCAAGCACACUGGUGCAGUCAGGGGUAAAUCUUUUUCCCUUCCUUUUAAUGCCUGAACUAUUCACUGCAGGAAUAAAACAUCUGCAUCCACGUUACAGACUGCAGCCUAAAGGGAUGAGACACAAACACAACUGGGGAUGGCAGCAUGGAGUCCUGCCUGCCAUGCACUACUGUAGCUUCCUUGGUACCCCUGUGUCACAUAAGCUCUGUGGCGCAGAUGUGGCCAGACUGGGGAAUGCUACUCUCACACAGUAGAAAUGUUCUAAAAAAACUCUGUAAAUGUGAGUGUUUUCCAGGCUGCUCCCACUAACUGAAUGACUAUCAAGCAAGCAAUGGUACUUGACUGCUGAGAGCAGAAUUUUAGAAAGGGCUCAAAAGAGCUCCCAGGUUCACUGCUCCCACUGUGGAUCCAAAAUUAAGCAGGCCCUUCUGACUGUGGGAACCCUCACCAGGCUUCUAGAAAGAGGGAGAAAGCUUGAGUCCCGGAUCAGCAACAAGUGUAUGCAUCACCCUUUUUGGCAGACCUCCUGAUAUGUGGAUUUGAACAUCUGUGAUGGAUGUAAAAUGAAAACGCCUACAGUGUUUCUGGGAAAUCAGAGGCAUGCAAGUUGUUCCACAGUCACUCCAAU